AGAGUUUAAUCCUGGCUCAGGAUGAACGCUGGCGGCAUGCCCAAGACAUGCAAGUCGAACGAGAUGGCCCAGUGAAGGUUGAGUGCUUGCACGAGACUGAAUCUGGAUUCCCAUCUAGUGGCAGACGGGUGAGUAACACGUGGGUGACCUACCUUUUCGUUGGGGAUAACAGUUGGAAACGAUUGCUAAUACCGAAUAAAAUGUAAGAGUCAAUUUUACAUUGAAAGGAGCCUUUAAAGCUUCGCGAUUAGA
RNAcentral lists this ribosomal RNA (252 nucleotides) under uncultured bacterium. RNAcentral describes it as "partial 16S ribosomal RNA". It matches the Rfam family "Bacterial small subunit ribosomal RNA", at positions 8 to 225 of the family's 1533-position model. The record is from RNAcentral.